Molecule: ribosomal RNA, 200 nt
Filed under: uncultured prokaryote
Description: partial 16S ribosomal RNA
Rfam family: Bacterial small subunit ribosomal RNA
Source: RNAcentral
ACGUCAAGUCCUCAUGGCCCUUAUGGGCUGGGCUACACACGUGCUACAAUGGCGCUGACAGAGGGCAGCUAGCUCGCGAGAGUAAGCUAAUCCCUAAAAGGCGCCUCAGUUCAGAUUGCACUCUGCAACUCGAGUGCAUGAAGUUGGAAUCGCUAGUAAUCGUGGAUCAGCAUGCCACGGUGAAUACGUUCCCGGGCCUU